RNAcentral lists this ribosomal RNA (468 nucleotides) under uncultured bacterium. Its description in RNAcentral is "partial 16S ribosomal RNA". It matches the Rfam family "Bacterial small subunit ribosomal RNA", at positions 28 to 507 of the family's 1533-position model. The record is from RNAcentral.
GACGAACGCUGGCGGCGUGCUUAACACAUGCAAGUCGAACGGAAAGGCCCUGCUUUUGUGGGGUGCUCGAGUGGCGAACGGGUGUGUAACACGUGAGUAACCUGCCCUUGACUUUGGGAUAACUUCAGGAAACUGGGGCUAAUACCGGAUAGGAGCUCCUGCUGCAUGGUGGGGGUUGGAAAGUUUUGGCGGUUGGGGAUGGACUCGCGGCUUAUCAGCUUGUUGGUGGGGUAGUGGCUUACCAAGGCUUUGACGGGUAGCCGGCCUGAGAGGGUGACCGGCCACAUUGGGACUGAGAUACGGCCCAGACUCCUACGGGAGGCAGCAGUGGGGAAUAUUGCACAAUGGGCGGAAGCCUGAUGCAGCAACGCCGCGUGCGGGAUGACGGCCCUCGGGUUGUAAACCGCUUUCGGCAGUGACGAAGCGAGAGUGACGGUAAUGGGUAAAGAAGCACCGGCUAACUACGUG